RNAcentral lists this microRNA (23 nucleotides) under Sus scrofa (pig). Its description in RNAcentral is "ssc-mir163". The record is from RNAcentral. Lineage: Eukaryota; Metazoa; Chordata; Mammalia; Artiodactyla; Suidae.
CACUCCUCCCCUGUGUGCCAGGU